GGACUUACUACUGUUAAAAACAUUGUGUAUUUGAUUGUUCCUGUACAAUAAAACCACAAAAGUCACCAAAAUAAACAUUUUUAGUCCUGUUUCUAUAAGUUAAAACAUACUAGUUACCUGGGUGGCCAGUCUCACAUCCCUACAAGUUGUCUGUGAACAUCACAAUCCCUUUCAGCUUCAUACAGGAAUAGGCUGCUUCUAAAGUCAUCAAUGUGAUGCCAGACAAUUGAGCAUUAGCUGGAGACAUCAGAUUAGUCCCCUGAGGGCCUGAGCAUGAAAUGCUCAAACGAUGGCAGUUGACUUCUAUAAGGUCAGAUUACAACAGCUUAAUAGGAGGGAAGUCAUUGUAUUUUUGUAACCAUGUGCAUGUCAUAAUGUUUCCAUUUCUUCACUACACAUUCUAAUAAACAAUGUGAUAUUUUAGAUCAUCAUAGUUUUAACUUAAAGUUUUCUAAGAAUUGUGAUGACUAUUCUUUUUUUCUUUUGGGGGGAUUUUUCUUUAUUUACAUUUAAAAUGUUAACCCCUUUCCAGGUCUCCCCUCUAGAAACCUCCUAUCCCAUCCCCUUCUCCCUGCCUCUAUGAGGAUGUUCCCCCACUGUGAUGGUUUGUAUGUUCUUGGACCAGGGAGUGGCACCAUUUGGAGGAGUGGCCUUCUUGGAAUAUGUGUGACCUGGUUGGAGUAGG
This 685-nucleotide long non-coding RNA is filed under the name Mus musculus (house mouse). RNAcentral describes it as "predicted gene 43346". Lineage: Eukaryota; Metazoa; Chordata; Mammalia; Rodentia; Muridae. The record is from RNAcentral.